UACGUAGGGGGCUAGCGUUGUCCGGAAUCAUUGGGCGUAAAGCGCGUGUAGGCGGUUCGGUAAGUCCGCUGUGAAAGUCGGGGGCUCAACCCUCGAAUGCCGGUGGAUACUGUCGGGCUAGAGUGCGGAAGAGGCGAGUGGAAUUCCUGGUGUAGCGGUGAAAUGCGCAGAUAUCAGGAGGAACACCGGUGGUGUAGACGGCUUUCUGGACCGUAACUGACGCUGAAACACGAAAGCGUGGGUAGCAAACAGG
This 253-nucleotide ribosomal RNA is filed under the name uncultured bacterium. Its description in RNAcentral is "partial 16S ribosomal RNA". It matches the Rfam family "Bacterial small subunit ribosomal RNA", at positions 524 to 776 of the family's 1533-position model. The record is from RNAcentral.